AAUGACUCUCGACAACGGAUAUCUCGGCUCUCGCAUCGAUGAAGAACGUAGCGAAAUGCGAUACUUGGUGUGAAUUGCAGAAUCCCGUGAACCAUCGAGUCUUUGAACGCAAGUUGCGCCCGAAGCCAUUAGGCUGAGGGCACGUCUGCCUGGGUGUCACGC
RNAcentral lists this ribosomal RNA (162 nucleotides) under Heracleum moellendorffii. RNAcentral's name for it is "5.8S ribosomal RNA". It matches the Rfam family "5.8S ribosomal RNA". From Rfam's summary of the family: 5.8S ribosomal RNA (5.8S rRNA) is a component of the large subunit of the eukaryotic ribosome. It is transcribed by RNA polymerase I as part of the 45S precursor that also contains 18S and 28S rRNA. The record is from RNAcentral. RNAcentral also lists the same sequence under 2 other names. Lineage: Eukaryota; Viridiplantae; Streptophyta; Magnoliopsida; Apiales; Apiaceae.